UGAAGUAAGCCCACCUACAACCAUACCUUAACUGAUCAGCGAUGCAGUUUUCAUUUACUUUCGUGCGACAGCUGCUGUCCGUGAUUGCUGGAUGGCAUCCGUAGAUUGAUGUUGUGACAAGUUAUCCCAUUUGGAUUAAUUGAAGAUUUAAUCCUUGCCAGUUAUCUUCGGACUACGCAGCUAUGGCGAAGAAAUUAAGAAAGUUUUUAAUCUUGUUAGAUAACGAAAGUUUGCUCUACUUUCCUGGUUCCUUUCUAACGGGCCGAGUUCUCGUGGAUUUGGACGAAGACACCGCUGUGACUGGCCUGUAUUUCCAUAUAGUAGGAGAAGGUGUUGUAAGACUUAGUGACAGAGGUAGUGGUAGCAGUUAUAAUGACAAAGAAAACUAUAUCGACUUCAGGAUGAAACUUCUUGGAGAAAGCAAUGGAAGAGGAGGAUCUGAGAGAACUGUUGAAUCGGAUCGCAUGAUCAUCCUGUCUCCCGGUGUACAUUCUUUUCCAUUCAAGUUAGGUUUGCCACUAGGAUUACCUUCAACUUUCCUUGGAAAGCACGGCUGGGUUCAAUAUUAUUGCAAGACAGCUUUGAAGGAACCGUCUGGGCUUACACAUAAAAAUCAACAAGUGUUCAUCGUUAUGAAUCCCAUAGAUUUAAACUUGGAACCACCUUUGUUAAUGCAACCUUUCCACUGUGAAAUAGAAGACACCCUAGGUAUACCUUGCCUAAAUUCUGGUCCCGUAUCCUGUAGAGUCAGACUAGAUAGAGGAGGUUAUGUACCUGGAGAAAGCAUCUGCAUUUUUGCAACUAUAGACAACGGAAGUAGAGUGACUAUAAAAAAGACUAAAGCCAUCCUCACAGAAACAAUUCAGUAUACGGCCAAAAGCAAGAUUGUACAGUCCGAAACAAGGGAGCUGGCAUCCCUUCAGAAGGGUCGAAUAGAUCCUGGAACUACAGAUCAUUGGAAGAAUGAAAUGCUCUAUAUCCCUCCCAUUCCUCCGACCAAUCUUCGGGGAUGUCAUCUUAUUAAAAUACAAUACGAUGUCUACUUUUUUCUCGAGCCAAAAGGAAUGGACAGGAUCCUUAAAUUACAGUUGCCAAUAAUGAUUGCCACGUAUCCUAUCCGAAACAAUGAUGGAACUCUACAAAGACGAAAAGGAACAAGCUAUCCCUCCACGCUACCAAUCUUCCGCCCAUGGUUGAACUCUGGAAAGAUCAAAUAAUGUAGUAAUAUGCGACUCAUGUUACGCAAGUGCUGCCACUCAAGUUUUCUCUAAACAAAUGCUUGCAUUGCGCUAAUUGUAUAACUUUUUUUAUGGACAGCUUGCUUCAAGAACUCAUAUUUGAAAUAAUGCCACAGCCAUUGUAACAGUAAGGGUAUACUUGCUUUAAGAUGUGGCAGUUUUCAAUCGUUUUUUAAAAGUCAACAAAAUAUCAAAGAAAAUUAAAUUAUUAUAUACUUCGGGAAAUCCUCCGACCGAACUGGAAUUUUUGAACUAAUAUCGAACAAGCAUAUUACAAAAAAGGUUGCAAAAAUAAAGAUCAGUCAAGGACUCUUGUGAUCCCGGUGGAUACUAUUACACAGAAAGGAUAUCAAGUGUCUGUAAUCCUACUGGAAAUUUAUUGGAGUUUAUAAGUAUUUUUAGAAGAAAAGAUAGUUUAAAAGAAAAAUUUACUAAUGUCACAUUCCAGUUUCUACUAUUUGUAGUAUAUUUUGUAUGAUAUCACAACUAAUUUUUGUACGAUUAUAUUGUUUUCUGUUUAAAAAUUCAAACUGCAUUCUUUUAUUUUAAAACAUUACUGUUUUUAGCAAAAUUUUAUUUAAUAGCUUUAACUUUGAAAUUUUGCAAAAUUGAAAAUUAUGUUAUUGCUUUAAUGAUACUAACUGCAUACAAUAACCUCUAAAAAUUGUUAAAAAUUUUAUAUUAAUUUUUGCCAAUUUAAAUUUAAAAAGGGAAUAUAAUUUUACUUUUAAAUUGGCUCUAAAUAACUGUUGAUUUUUGACAAUUUUUAAAGUGUUGCUACAUCUAAACCAGUGUUGUUAAAGUUUUGUGAACAUGUUUUGUCUGUAGGAAUAUGUAUUUUUACUCUCUUCUUGUUCUCUUGCAUAAGUCUAAUAGUCUGUUAAUAAAAUGGCUUAUAAAUAAUAAAAAUAUUUUAUAAUUGUU
This 2162-nucleotide unclassified non-coding RNA is filed under the name Stegodyphus dumicola. RNAcentral's name for it is "arrestin domain-containing protein 4-like, transcript variant X2". The record is from RNAcentral. Lineage: Eukaryota; Metazoa; Arthropoda; Arachnida; Araneae; Eresidae.